Molecule: ribosomal RNA, 1914 nt
Filed under: uncultured Entomoneis
Lineage: Eukaryota; Bacillariophyta; Bacillariophyceae; Surirellales; Surirellaceae
Description: partial Bacterial large subunit ribosomal RNA
Rfam family: Bacterial large subunit ribosomal RNA
Source: RNAcentral
CAAGGAAUUAAGAGUUUAUGGGGGAUACCUUGGCAUUCAGAAGCGAUGAAGGACGUGGUUACCGACGAUACGCUUCGGGGAGCUGGAAACAAGCUACGAUCCGGAGGUCUCCGAAUGAGGAAACUUUAAUACUACUUAUUGAAUACAUAAAUAAGAAAGAGCAAACCUAGGGAAUUGAAACAUCUUAGUACCUAGAGGAAGAGAAAGUAAAAACGAUUCCCUUAGUAGCGGCGAGCGAAGCGGGAACAGCCUAAACUUAAUAAUUAAGGGUAGCGGGACAGUUAGAAAUGAUUAAAUGUAACAAUUAGACGAAUUAGUUGGAAUACUAAACCAAAGAGAGUGAUAGUCUUGUAGUCGAAAAUUGAAACAAUCAAACUGAAUCCCAAGUAGCAUGGAGCACGUGAAAUUCCGUGUGAAUCAGCGAGGACCACCUCGUAAGGCUAAAUAUUCCUGAAUGACCGAUAGUGAAUUAGUACCGUGAGGGAAAGGUGAAAAGAACCCCGGGAGGGGAGUGAAAAGAACAUGAAACCAUAAACUUACAAUCAGUAGGAGGACGACUAAAACGUCUAACUUCGUGCCUGUUGAAGAAUGAGCCGGCGACUUAUAGGUAGUGGCAGGUUAAGGCAGAGAAUGCCGGAGCCAUAGCGAAAGCGAGUCUGAAUAGGGCGUUUGUCACUGGUUAUAGACCCGAACCCGAAUGAUCUAACCAUGGUCAGGUUGAAGCUUAGGUAAUACUAAGUGGAGGACCGAACCGACUGAUGUUGAAAAAUCAGCGGAUGAACUGUGGUUAGGGGUGAAAUUCCAAUCGAAUUCGGAGCUAGCUGGUUCUCCCCGAAAUGCGUUUUGGCGCAGCGAUAAAUGUUAUAACUUAGGGGUAAAGCACUGUUACGUAUGCGGGCUGGUAAUUCGGUACCAAAUCGUUGCAAACUAAGAAUACUAAGUGGAAAGUUUAUCAGUGAGACUGUGGGGGAUAAGCUCCAUUGUCAAGAGGGAAACAGCCCAGAGCACCAGUUAAGGCCCCUAAAUAAUUGCUAAGUGAUAAAGGAGGUGGGAGUGCAUAGACAAUCAGGAGGUUUGCUUAGAAGCAGCAAUCCUUUAAAGAGUGCGUAAUAGCUCACUGAUCGAGUAAACCUGCGCCGAAAAUGUACGGGACUAAGUAAUUUGCCGAAACUGUGCGAUAUAUUUGAAAUAUAUCGGUAGGGGAGCGUUCUGUUGUAGAUUGAAGUAUUAGCGUAAGCGGAUAUGGACGAAGCAGAAGUGAGAAUGUCGGCUUGAGUAACGAAAAUAUAGGUGAGAAUCCUAUACCCCGAAAACCCAAGGUUUCCUCCGGAAGGCUCGUCCGCGGAGGGUAAGUCAGGACCUAAGGCGAGGCUGAAAAGCGUAGUCGAUGGACAACGGGUUAAUAUUCCCGUACCAUUAUUUGUUGAUAUCGAGGGACGGAGAAGGCUAAGCUGGCCGGAUGUUGGUUACCGGUUUAAGCGCUUAAGGUGAUGAGAAACGGAGAAAACGUUUUGAGCUAAGGCGUGAGUACGAGAUGCUACGGCAUCGAAGCAGUCUAGGUCAUACUUCCAAGAAAAGCUCGCACUGUCAUAAACAAAUAAUGCCUGUACCAUAACCGACACAGGUGGGUAGGUAGAGUAUACUAAGGGGCGCGAGAUAACUCUCUCUAAGGAACUCGGCAAAAUGACUCCGUAACUUCGGGAGAAGGAGUGCCUUAUUCGUAAGGUUGCAAUAACCAGAUCCAAGCAACUGUUUAUCAAAAACACAGGUCUCCGCAAAGUCGCAAGACGAUGUAUGGGGGCUGACGCCUGCCCAGUGCCAGAAGGUUAAAGAAGUUGGUUAGUUUCGACGAAGCUGAUAACUGAAGCCCUGGUGAACGGCGGCCGUAACAAUAACGGUCCUAAGGUAGCGAAA